CCAUGGAAGUACUUCCACGUGGGCUGCGCUGCUGCAGCAGUACUUGUUCCAGAUACAGCAAAGUUAAGCGACGCAUAUCAAGUGUGUGGAGACUAGAGACAUCUUAUGGAGAAGUCGUGUAUUGCAAGUUACAUGACGCUGAUACAGCACGGCCUUCUGUAUGGAACAUCGGUGACAACGUUUAGCUAGUAAAACCUUCUUUUGCAAGAAAAAGACAUGACAUGAAAAGACAUUUUGACAUGAAAAGCUAUUUUUGUUGCAUUCCCUGCACCUCUCAAGUGAAUGAAAACCCAUGUUGAUUACAAUCAGUUUGCAUACAACUUGCAGUCUCUUCUGCUUUCUAUUCUUCAUUAGAGAUAUUGCGCAAUGCUGAGGUGUAGUUGCUAAGAGACUGAGCUAAGAACGAGGAUGUUUCCAGUUCAAAUCUUGCCAUGAACAAACUGAGUGGCCUUAGGCAAGCCACUCGCUCCCAUCCUCAGCUCCCACCCGCUUUCCAUGAAAGGGAUAAUAAUACUCUCAUACCUAACAGGGAUGUUGCGAGGAUUACAAAAAGAUAACUGUAUGUGAAGCCUACUUUCAUCACUGUAGAAGCUCUAUGUAAAUGUUAUCUAUGUUAAGUAGCUCUAUGUUAAGUAGCAUUCUUACACUGCAGAUAUGUCACAAUCUACAAGUGACACAUGCCAGACUAAAUGUUGGUCUUAGUAUUGCUUGUGAAAAUGCCCCAGAGAAGUAUGUGUGCCAGAAACACUUUUUAUUAUAGAUGUGCCUGCACCUGGGAUCAUAAAGAACAAACCAUUCUUUUUUAUUCUGCUAACUUGGCAAAAUUAACUUGGCCCCUGCUAACUUGGCAAAGAGGCACCUUUUAACCUGGUCAUUCUCUUUAUUUAGCAGGGGGAGAGUAACUGGCCCUAUCUUAUGUUUCUUUUUAGAUUGUGAGCCCUUUAGGGACAGGGUUCCAUCUUAUUUGUUUGUUAUUUCUCUCUGUAAACCGCCCUGAGCCAUUUCUGGAAGGGCGGCAUAGAAAUGAAAUCAGUCAAUCAAUCAAUCAAUCAAAUAAAUAAAUAAAUUUCUGUGGCCACA
This is a long non-coding RNA of Hemicordylus capensis (graceful crag lizard), 1080 nucleotides long. RefSeq lists it as uncharacterized. Lineage: Eukaryota; Metazoa; Chordata; Lepidosauria; Squamata; Cordylidae. The transcript is spliced from 2 exons. The record is from RefSeq and is a predicted model, not a curated record.